RNAcentral lists this transfer RNA (90 nucleotides) under Haematospirillum jordaniae. RNAcentral's name for it is "tRNA-Ser". It matches the Rfam family "tRNA". Rfam says of the family: Transfer RNA (tRNA) molecules are approximately 80 nucleotides in length. Their secondary structure includes four short double-helical elements and three loops (D, anti-codon, and T loops). The record is from RNAcentral. Lineage: Bacteria; Pseudomonadati; Pseudomonadota; Alphaproteobacteria; Rhodospirillales; Novispirillaceae.
GGAGAGGUGCCGGAGCGGUCGAACGGGACGGUCUCGAAAACCGUUGUACCCGCAAGGGUACCGUGGGUUCGAAUCCCACCCUCUCCGCCA